CUACGGGUGGCAGCAGUGGGGAAUAUUGCACAAUGGGGGAAACCCUGAUGCAGCAACGCCGCGUGGAGGAUGACGCAUUUCGGUGUGUAAACUCCUUUUAUGAGUCAAGAAAAUGACGGUAGCUCAUGAAUAAGCACCGGCUAACUCCGUGCCAGCAGCCGCGGUAAUACGGAGGGUGCAAGCGUUACUCGGAAUCACUGGGCGUAAAGGACGCGUAGGCGGGCUUGUAAGUCAGGUGUGAAAUCCUACAGCUUAACUGUAGAACUGCACUUGAAACUACGAGCCUAGAGUAUGGGAGGGGCAGAUGGAAUUAGUGGUGUAGGGGUAAAAUCCGUAGAUAUCACUAGGAAUACCGAAAGCGAAGGCGAUCUGCUGGAACAUUACUGACGCUAAGGCGUGAAAGCGUGGGGAGCAAACGGGAUUAGAUACCCUGGUAGUC
RNAcentral lists this ribosomal RNA (439 nucleotides) under uncultured bacterium. Its description in RNAcentral is "partial 16S ribosomal RNA". It matches the Rfam family "Bacterial small subunit ribosomal RNA", at positions 339 to 795 of the family's 1533-position model. The record is from RNAcentral.